GCCGUUCCUUUUCAUUCGUUUCCUGCAAACUCUAAAGUGAGCCAGGGGUGCGUAGGAUUAGUAGGUGGAGGAGGAGGUGGUGUGGUGGAGGAAUCAUAGUUAGGCGUACACGUGGACGGUGAGAGAUGAUGAGCGCGGAGGUGGUGGCAGUGAGGUGGGGCACAUGGGAGCAAUUAUUGUUGGGUGGAGCCGUGGUCCGGCAUGGUACCCGAGAUUGGGAUUUGGUUGCCGCUGAGCUUCGAGCCCGAACCGUUUGCCCGUA
Molecule: unclassified non-coding RNA, 262 nt
Filed under: Hevea brasiliensis (rubber tree)
Lineage: Eukaryota; Viridiplantae; Streptophyta; Magnoliopsida; Malpighiales; Euphorbiaceae
Source: RNAcentral